This 252-nucleotide long non-coding RNA is filed under the name Panax ginseng (ginseng). Its description in RNAcentral is "long non-coding RNA (PGIN_LNC013919)". The record is from RNAcentral. Lineage: Eukaryota; Viridiplantae; Streptophyta; Magnoliopsida; Apiales; Araliaceae.
AGAAUUUGAGAAUUUAUUUAAAAUUUUCAAGAAAAAAACCUAUAUGGUUUGAUAUUCGAAUGAGAAUAGAGAAAAUAUGGGUUACAAAAUUCUAAAACCCUAGAAAUGAAUUAAUAUGUACUUGAAGGAAUAUCAAGAAUAAGGUAUUACGAUACCUGUAAAUUCGAUGUGAACUGAAUAGUCUAAGAAAUGUUAUAUAAGUACCUAUGGAAAUUUUAUUAUUGGAGAUAAGAUUUCACAGGAAGAGAUGCN